This 253-nucleotide ribosomal RNA is filed under the name uncultured bacterium. RNAcentral describes it as "partial 16S ribosomal RNA". It matches the Rfam family "Bacterial small subunit ribosomal RNA", at positions 524 to 776 of the family's 1533-position model. The record is from RNAcentral.
GACAGAGGGUGCAAACGUUGCUCGGAAUCACUGGGCGUAAAGGGCGUGUAGGCGGGAAUGUAAGUCGGGCGUGAAAGCCCCAGGCUCAACCUGGGAACUGCACUCGAAACUGCGUUUCUUGAGUAUCGGAGAGGAAGGCGGAAUACCUGGUGUAGAGGUGAAAUUCGUAGAUAUCAGGUGGAACACCAGUGGCGAAGGCGGCUUUCUGGACGAUUACUGACGCUGAGACGCGAAAGCGUGGGGGGCAAACAGG